This 253-nucleotide ribosomal RNA is filed under the name uncultured bacterium. Its description in RNAcentral is "partial 16S ribosomal RNA". It matches the Rfam family "Bacterial small subunit ribosomal RNA", at positions 524 to 776 of the family's 1533-position model. The record is from RNAcentral.
UACAGAGGUCUCAAGCGUUGUUCGGAUUCAUUGGGCGUAAAGGGUGCGUAGGCGGCGCGGUAAGUCGGGUGUGAAAUCUCGGAGCUUAACUCCGAAACUGCAUUCGAUACUGCCGUGCUUGAGGACUGGAGAGGAGACUGGAAUUUACGGUGUAGCGGUGAAAUGCGUAGAUAUCAGGAGGAACAUCGGUGGUGUAGACGGCUUUCUGGACCGUAACUGACGCUGAGACACGAAAGCGUGGGUAGCAAACAGG